GCUGUCCACGGUGUGGAGGGUGAGGGGGAUGAAGUCGUAACAAGGUAGCCGUUGCGGAAGCAGCGGCUGGAUCACCUCCUUUCUAAGGAGCAAG
This 94-nucleotide ribosomal RNA is filed under the name Candidatus Omnitrophota bacterium. RNAcentral's name for it is "Candidatus Omnitrophica bacterium (wastewater metagenome) partial 16S ribosomal RNA". The stretch from base 1 to 82 matches the Rfam family "Bacterial small subunit ribosomal RNA", at positions 1452 to 1533 of the family's 1533-position model. The record is from RNAcentral. Lineage: Bacteria; Pseudomonadati; Candidatus Omnitrophota.